This 72-nucleotide transfer RNA is filed under the name Camelus bactrianus (Bactrian camel). It matches the Rfam family "tRNA". From Rfam's summary of the family: Transfer RNA (tRNA) molecules are approximately 80 nucleotides in length. Their secondary structure includes four short double-helical elements and three loops (D, anti-codon, and T loops). Further hydrogen bonds mediate the characteristic L-shaped molecular structure. tRNAs have two regions of fundamental functional importance: the anti-codon, which is responsible for specific mRNA codon recognition, and the 3' end, to which the tRNAs corresponding amino acid is attached (by aminoacyl-tRNA synthetases). tRNAs cope with the degeneracy of the genetic code in two manners: having more than one tRNA (with a specific anti-codon) for a particular amino acid; and 'wobble' base-pairing, i.e. permitting non-standard base-pairing at the 3rd anti-codon position. The record is from Rfam by way of RNAcentral. RNAcentral also lists the same sequence under 3 other names. Lineage: Eukaryota; Metazoa; Chordata; Mammalia; Artiodactyla; Camelidae.
GAGGGUAUAGUUCAGUGGUAGUGUGCAUGCCUGGCAUGCACAAGGUCCUGGGUUUAAUCUCCAGUACCUCCA